RNAcentral lists this ribosomal RNA (492 nucleotides) under uncultured bacterium. Its description in RNAcentral is "partial 16S ribosomal RNA". It matches the Rfam family "Bacterial small subunit ribosomal RNA", at positions 29 to 507 of the family's 1533-position model. The record is from RNAcentral.
AGUGAACGCUGGCGGUAGGCCUAACACAUGCAAGUCGAACGGUACCACAGUAAGAGCUUGCUCUUACGGGUGGCGAGUGUCGGACGGGUGAGGUAUAUAUCGGAAUCCACUUUUUCGUGGGGGCUAACGUAGGGAAACUUCCGCUGACACCGCAUUCGACCUACGUGUGUAAGCAGGGGAUUGUUGGACCUUGUGCUAGUGAAUGAGCCGAUGUAGGAUUAGCUAGUUGGCGCGGCAAAGGCCCACCAAGGCCACAAUCGGUAUCUGGUCUGAGAGGAUCAUCAGGCACACUGGAACUGAGACACGGUCCAGACUCCUACGGUGGGCAGCAGUGGGGACUAUUGGACGAUGCGCGCAAGCCUGAUCCAGCCCUACCGCGUGGAUGAAGAAGGACUUCGGGUUGUAAAGCCCUUUUGUUGGGAAAGAAAAGCAGCAGGUUAAUACCCCGCUGUUCUGACGGUACCCAAAGAAUAAGCACCGGCUAACUUCGUG